GAGACAGGGGUAUUGUUACGUUGACCAGGUUGGUCUUGAAUGCUUGGCUUCAAGCAAUCCUCCUGCCUCAGCCUCCCAAAGUGCUAAGAUUACAGGGAUAAGCCACUUUGCCUGGCCCAAACCAAUUUCUGAAGUUGGGCUAAAGAAAGCAAAUUCACCACCCUCUGAUUCCCAAACCCUCUGGUUUUCCAAUAUCUACCUGUGAAAUGGCCUAACCCAGGCCUAGGCAUACAGGAAGUGCACAUUAAAUGCAUGCUGGAUAAGUACAGGGGUCCUGCCUGUCCUAGGGUGGAGUAGGAGGGUAAGUGGUAUGGGAAGUUCUUUUCUCCUUGUGCUAUAAGAGGCUUUGGAGACUGAUUCUAGAUGGUCAAUCAGCAAACACUUGACUGAACCAUUCUUCUAGGCCUGCCCAGUUAGUAAAAAUGGUCAUAAAGCUGGCAGAGCCAGGUUCAAUCUGGUUCCAUCAAUGCUGAAGGGAGGCUGACUGUGCCUCAGUUUCCUCAUCUGUAAAAUGGUUUUGUGAGGCAGGAUGGAUCCGGUGCCAGUCCAGAGGGCAGGGCCUGGGUCCCCUCCGAGAGGCUGGGCAGACACCUGCGCUGGACUGGGGACAGACCGUGUUUCCUGCUCCUGGAGAGGGCGGAAGCCUGGCAGGAGGGGAACAGAGAGGCCUCAGCCUUCUCGGGUAACUUGAUCCUCAGGAAUGUUUGGGCCAGACAGCGCCCCCAGCCCGAGUCUGGCGCCCGGCCCCCGACCGCCCUCCGGGGGUCCCCGUCGGGGCACUUUCCCUGCAAGCCCCGCCCCUACCAGCCUAAGGGUCCUAAGCGCCGGUUUAGAAUCCUCACAAGCCCCACCUCCCCGCUGUGGGGUCUUGAGUGCCUGGCUCCACCUCAUCCCUGCGGUUGCCUGCUUAACUCGUUUUUCUUUGGGGCUUUCCGAUUUAUCAAGGGUUCUCUCUGGCCUGGCCUGUACGACUCUGGGCACGUCACCUGCCCCCUCCAGACACUGUCCUGAGAAGUGGGAUAACGUCCCUCGCCACUGGUGGAGCUGCUGCUGGGAUAAAGGUGAAAAUGCAGAGUCCGGGACCAAGCCCUAUUGUUGCCCCAACCUCAUCUGCAACUUUCACUGCCUUGGAGACAAAUCCCUCCGGAGCAGAGGUGGAGGCCUCGGCACUCCCCUUCUCUUCCUUUGGCACUCACUGGCUUCCCAAUCCCGUCCCACCUGCCUCCCCACCUUCUAGAAAUGUGUCCAGCUGGCUCCUGUCCUGGGGCCUUUGAACUGGCUGUUCCUACUACCGGAACACUCUGAUCCCCCAGUAUUUGGCAAUUAGGUCCAGCUUGUCUGUCAUUUGGUGUUACAUCCUGGGCCACCCCUCCCAGAUUACCCGACUCUAAAAUAUCAGCCCCCUCCAUUACCAUC
This is a non-coding RNA of Macaca mulatta (Rhesus monkey), 1416 nucleotides long. The record is from RefSeq and is a predicted model, not a curated record. Lineage: Eukaryota; Metazoa; Chordata; Mammalia; Primates; Cercopithecidae.